Long non-coding RNA from Brienomyrus brachyistius, 906 nucleotides. RefSeq lists it as uncharacterized. The record is from RefSeq and is a predicted model, not a curated record. Lineage: Eukaryota; Metazoa; Chordata; Actinopteri; Osteoglossiformes; Mormyridae. The transcript has 3 exons.
GACCAUUUUCCCUGCUCUUCGGCUGUCCAGUUUCGGUGAGCUCACGCCCGGUGUGGCCUCUGGUCUCCUUUCAGCUGAGAGAAGUGGAAGCUCCAUGUGGUCUUCUGCUGUUGUAGCUUAUCGACCUCAAGGUGUUUUGGAGGUGGGGUGUAGCUCGGCAUAGACCCCAUAAACAACCUGCCUGGAAGGUCAUGAGUACACAUUCCUUGGAUACCAGAAAAAUCAUCAGCAUUGCACCCUUGACCUGUUUUAACCCCAGUUACCUCAGGGAUGCCGUGAGGUGACUAUGUGAUGCUCACUUGUACGCUAUUCUGGACAAAACUGUCUGCUAAAUAUGGCAUUCCUCUAAAGGUUGCUGACCUUGAAGCCCAGCCAGAUGUUACCAUAAUCAGCAUCACGAGUGUCCCCACUUACCCAACUGGAAGCUGGGGUCUGUGGGCUUAACCAUGGUGGAUCUCAAAGCUCAAAGAUGUCAAUGUGAUCUGAUGAAUAAGUCCAGGAGAAGAACAACAGUAUGAAAAUGGGAAAGGGGGCAGUAACGGACAAUAGCGUACUGGGAGCAGGUACUGGGAAAAGCACAUACUGGUGUGCCCUAAGCAGACAGCCUUUAGGGACAGCAGAGGUGCAUGUGGGUCGAGUCACUGUCUCCAACAGAAAACUACAUGUUGAUUUGCCAAAAUGAGAUUUAAAAGUGCAAUUUUCACAUGUUUGGGCACCCUGUCAGUAAGGACUUUAACGCCUUUGGAGGAAAUGGCUUCGAAACAUUUCUUGUAGCCAGCUUAGUGUUUUCCUUUCUUGCUUUAGGACUCAAGAUAAAUAUUCUUAGGUCUUGUAUGUGCUGUUUUCAUAAUCAGUCUGGGUUCUGACAUCCAUUUUGAAAGCUUAAAGUAUUGUGGUCGUCGUGUU